AACCCAUGUUGAGGACAUUUCCACAAGACCUCCUUGAAAAUAUUCCAUGUCUCAAAAAGAGACUCUAAUUCAAUUUGCACAAAAGAAGAUAUUUCAUUCCUAAGCUU
Small nucleolar RNA from Dioscorea cayenensis subsp. rotundata (Guinea yam), 107 nucleotides. Lineage: Eukaryota; Viridiplantae; Streptophyta; Magnoliopsida; Dioscoreales; Dioscoreaceae. The record is from RefSeq and is a predicted model, not a curated record.